Molecule: non-coding RNA, 72 nt
Organism: Dallia pectoralis (Alaska blackfish)
Lineage: Eukaryota; Metazoa; Chordata; Actinopteri; Esociformes; Umbridae
Source: the annotation of a GenBank genome assembly
GUUUGUGUAGCUCAGUGGUAGAGUACAUGCUUUGUGUGUAUGAUGUCCUGGGUUCAAUCCCCAGCUUCUCUA